ACUAUUAAGCCCCCACUUGAGGGAUGCUUAUUUCCUUGGACAUGUCUAAGAGAGGAGCGUUAUAAGGCCUAAGAGAGGAGGGUCAUAAGGGUUUUUUAAGCUCGUUAAAAAUAGGUUUACCAGUAUCCCUCAAAGUCUUAGUGAUAUUGAUACACAAAUACUUGUAAAAAUACUUAGUUGUUAUGAUGAGUUCAUUGAAUUUUCAUUAUGUGGAAAAAAGGUGGAAACCUUAGAUGAAAUACUAGGCAGCUCGUGUGGAGGGGCAUGAAGCAAGUUAUAAUUCGAAUCCUUGUAAGGUAAGAGAAAAAC
This 309-nucleotide long non-coding RNA is filed under the name Populus tremula. RNAcentral describes it as "long non-coding RNA (PTRE_LNC002452)". Lineage: Eukaryota; Viridiplantae; Streptophyta; Magnoliopsida; Malpighiales; Salicaceae. The record is from RNAcentral.